ACAGAGGGUGCAAGCGUUGAUCGGAAUUACUGGGCGUAAAGGGCGCGUAGGCGGCGAACUCAGUCGGAUGUGAAAUCCCCUGGCUCAACCAGGGAAUUGCAUUCGAUACUGCAUGGCUUGAGUACGGAAGAGGGAUGCGGAAUUCCAGGUGUAGCGGUGAAAUGCGUAGAUAUCGGAAGGAACAUCAGUGGCGAAGGCG
RNAcentral lists this ribosomal RNA (199 nucleotides) under uncultured prokaryote. RNAcentral's name for it is "partial 16S ribosomal RNA". It matches the Rfam family "Bacterial small subunit ribosomal RNA", at positions 525 to 723 of the family's 1533-position model. The record is from RNAcentral.